RNAcentral lists this ribosomal RNA (253 nucleotides) under uncultured bacterium. Its description in RNAcentral is "partial 16S ribosomal RNA". It matches the Rfam family "Bacterial small subunit ribosomal RNA", at positions 524 to 776 of the family's 1533-position model. The record is from RNAcentral.
UACGAAGGGGGCUAGCGUUGCUCGGAAUUACUGGGCGUAAAGGGUGCGUAGGCGGGUCUUUAAGUCAGAGGUGAAAUCCUGGAGCUCAACUCCAGAACUGCCUUUGAUACUGAAGAUCUUGAGUUCGGGAGAGGUGAGUGGAACUGCGAGUGUAGAGGUGAAAUUCGUAGAUAUUCGCAAGAACCCCAGUGGCGAAGGCGGCUCACUGGCCCGAUACUGACGCUGAGGCGCGAAAGCGUGGGUAGCAAACAGG